Molecule: long non-coding RNA, 1480 nt
Filed under: Fukomys damarensis (Damara mole-rat)
Lineage: Eukaryota; Metazoa; Chordata; Mammalia; Rodentia; Bathyergidae
Description: lncRNA (ENSFDAG00000026388.1)
Source: RNAcentral
CAUUUUGAAGAUCUUUUCUAUCAAACGUCUAUUGGUUCUGAUGAAAAGAAAAGCAUAUUGCCCAAUGACACAAAAAGGGCAAUAUUUCCCUACAGCGCAGGCAUCUAAAUACCUAUAAGAAGAUAAUUCUGUGAAACUCUUCACCCCACAAAGGUGAUAGAUACUUAUACCAUGUAGCCUGCACUUUCCAAGUUUAAACAUUUCCAUACCAAUAACCAUGGUUACAGUGGAAUAUUUACUAGUUCAGACACUAAGGGCAACAAUUUGGAAUUUUGUCAUUUGCUACCUGAUCAGCGUGCUGUAUUUAAAGUCUAUAUUCAUUUCUUUUGGGGCAGGAUAACCACAGUCCUCACAGCCUGCGUGGAACACCAGCAUGCCCACUCUGAUGGGUGGGAAGGGCACGUCCUCUGUGCCAGCCCCAGCACAGCAGCCCCGGUGCCCUUACAUUCCCCUUCCCAGAGCUGUCCCCACGACUGCCAACCCCUGCUCUGUCAGACCAGGCUGCCGGCUGAAAUGCUGAUGCAGGGAAAGGCAAGGAACUGGGAGAGACAGCUGACUGCCACACCUAUUGGAGAGAGAGGCGGAGAAUUCUAUUCCCUCCGAGGAAGGGGAAGGGCACAAGAGCUAAGGAUGCCCAAAUGCAAUCCUGUAGGACAGCUGGGGACAUUCACCAGCACACAGCAGGAUUGCAGCACUGUCGGCCAAGCUGGAUCAGGAAUAACCAAGGAUGAGAGACAAGACCUCAAGUUCCAUAUCUGGAACAAAGUAGCUGCAUAACCCUUGCCAAGUCACCCACUACUAAGACUCAAGUUUCCUCAAUUUGUUAAAAUACUAGUGUUUCAAAAAAAAUCUCAAGAUGGCUUCUGGCUCUGAAAUUCUAAAGCCAUCAUAACAAACAUAAGCAUAAUAAAUAAUAAGCACAGCUACCAUUUACUGAGACUGUACUAUGCACCAUCCAGUGUAUCAUCUCAAUUAAUUUUGUGAUGCUGAGAUUUAUUGAACCCACCUUAUAGAGGAGGAAACUUUCAAACUCAAUCCAUGAAUCCCCAUGAAAAUAAAGGAUCAUCAUAUCCAUUCAGCGUUUGGAAUUGAAAUGGAGGCAUUUAAUCUUUGUGCCAGAAGUUGAGAUGACAUCUAAGAAUGGAAUUUCUGCACUGUUGGGUGAUUAAUAUGUUUACAGUCUGUGCUGGUAUAAUUCUGAGCUACUAGUAUUUAUGGUUACGGUCAUUCAUGCUACUGCGAACCCCAUUUUCCACCUGUUGUGUUUUAUUAAGCCUCCCUAAAGGACAUAAAAUAUUUCCUUGUGCAGAUUCUAAAAACAGGAUCCUGAAAUAUGUGAGCAGAAAUGUCCAAUGUGGAUUUAUUGUUAGGAAUUUCAGAUGCUAUAAAACACGGUGUUUACAAUCAAUUCAUCAUUUAAUAAGAGUUUAUUAGAUUGCUAUGCCAACCGGCUCACUGGUGUCCUGCCAUUUAUUGAUGC